This 848-nucleotide ribosomal RNA is filed under the name Gammarus shanxiensis. RNAcentral's name for it is "partial 16S ribosomal RNA". The record is from RNAcentral. Lineage: Eukaryota; Metazoa; Arthropoda; Malacostraca; Amphipoda; Gammaridae.
AGAUUAAGAAAACUUUAUUGAUGUACCUUUUGUAUCAGGGGGGUUUAAAAGUAUAAUUAAAAUAUGAUCGAUUUUGUCAUAUCUUUUUUAUUUACGGGUAGUUGAAUUUAAUUGUUUAAAAUAUUAAGAGGUGAAAAGUGUACGGUGAUGGUGGUAUCUAAUUAUUUUAGGGUUUAAGGGUUAAGCUUUAAUAAUUUUAUUUUAUAGUAUUUUUAUGAAAACUAGGCUUUAAAUUAGCUAUGUUAGUAUAUUGUUUUAAAUAAUCUUAGAGUUAUUUAUAUAUAUAAAGCUACUAAUAUAAUGUUAAUAGCUAACACUUAGUAAAAAUAAUGAAUUCAUUGUAUAAUAAAAGAGACUAAAAAAAAACUAAUAAUAAGAUAGAAAGUUUAUCAAAAACAUUUCUUUUUGUUGAUUAAAAAGUAAGGCCUGCCCUGUGAUAUUUAACGGCUGCGGUAUUUUGACUGUGCAAAGGUAGCAUAAUCAUUUGUUUUUUAAUUGGUAACUGGAAUGAAAGGUUAAACUAUCUUGUUAAGUUUGUAUAGUCAAACAAGAGAUUUAAGUAAAGGUAAGAAUUCUUUUAUUCCCUAGGGGACGAUAAGACCCUAAAAGCUUAAUAAAUAGACUAAAUGUUAGUUGUGUAGUAAAAUUUGUUUUACUGGGGCGGUGUAAGUACACAAACUACUAUAAAAUUGGUUGUUCCUACACAUAUAGAUAAAACAGAUAAGUUACUUUAGGGAUAACAGUACAAUAUUUUUGGAGAGAUCUUAUCGAUAAAGAUGUUUGUAACCUCGAUGUUGAAUUAAAAUGUCUAUGUAGAGCAAAAAACACAAAAGAAGGUUUGUUCAACC